UUAAACGCUGACUUGGUAACAAUCUAAAGAGGCUUUAAAAAUGAUAAUCUGUAAAUCACGCGUUGGAACUUGACAAUUUUAUUUGUGCUGGACAUUCGAAAGCCGAUGAAAAGAUGUAAUUCUGGUGAGACGGUGGAGGAUCCUAGUCAGGAACAAACCCACAGUACUGGGGACCUCUUAGCAGCUGACAUGCUGGAUACAAACACAUUGCGAUUGGGAACGGAUGCUCAAGAAGUCUUCGAUGAUGAAGACCCACUACUGGCGUUACUGAGAACACAGAGUGACCCAGAGGCAAACACCGACUUACCACACACCACAACAGCUCACAAGGGUGAUGAAUCUCCGAGGAAGCCAAGAAUAUCCAGGACGAAAACGUCAGACAAGAAAGCAUGGAAAGACCUGGACGAUGACCUUCAUGCAAUACUGGAGACAGCACUCCAAGGAGCAGUUGAGAGAAAGCUGGUUGCUUUAACCAACCUUGUCUACACAGUUGGGAAAGAAAGAUUCGGUCUGACUAUCCAGAAAACCACCAAGAAACCUGUACAGAUGAAUAGAAGGCAGCGACAGAUAAAGGGCAUCAGAAGUGAUUUGAAGGUUUUGCGAAGGAGAUAUAGGCAUGCCAGGGAAGAAGAAAAGCCAGGGCUGAAUCAGUUAAGAGACAGCCAGAUGGAACAACUUUUAAACCUAUGCAAGGCAGAACAACUUCCGUGAGAAAAGAAGGAAAAAGGCCAAACGUCGUGCUGAGUUCAUUGCAAAUCCAUUUAAGUUCUCUAAUAACCUGCUAGACAAAGAGAAAUCGGGCAAGAUAGAGAGCAGCAUGGAAGAAAUUACACAGUUCCUAACUGAAACGCACUCUGAUGAUAUCCGAGACGUACCGUUAGGCAACUGCCAGAGAAUAGAACCAGUACCAGAACCCACAACACCUCUAGACACCAAGGAACCUACACUGAAAGAGGUUUCAGAAGUAGUUCAAAAGGCAAGAGCAGGGUCGGCCCCAGGACCAAAUAGUAUCCCUUACAAGGUGUAUAAGAUGUGCCCUAAACUUCUUCGACGCUUAUGGAAUCUUCUGAAAGUGGUUUGGAGGAAAGGUAAAGUUCCAGAUUGUUGGCAACAGGCAGAAGGAAUAUUUACACCAAAGGAAAAGGAUUCGAAGACCGUCACCCAAUUCAGAACCAUUUCCUUACUGAACGUUGAGGGGAAAAUCUUCUUUGCUGUGCUGGCCAAGAUAAUGACGAAGUAUCUGACAUCAAACCAAUACAUUGAUAACUCAGUGCAAAAGGGAGGCGUCCCAGGGUUCUCUGGAUGUGUGGAACAUACAAGCGCCCUCAGUCAGAUCAUCAGGGAAGCAAAGGUUAACCAAAAAGACCUCACUGUUGUCUGGCUUGACCUUGCCAAUGCGUAUGGCUGCAUACCACACAAGCUAAUGGAGACCACACUGAAGCACUACCACAUCCCAGACCAUGUGCAACAGAUUAUCAAUGGAUACUUCAGUAACAUACAACUACGGUUUGCUGUAGGAGAACAGUCAACACCUUGGAUAAGGCUCGAGAAAGGAAUAGUAACAGGCUGCACUAUUUCAGUCGUGUUAUUCGUGAUGGGAAUGAACUUAAUUAUCAACGCCGCAAAGAGGGAAACCAGAGGACCAAAGACAACCUCCGGGAUAUACCUCCCAUCCAAUAGAGGUUUUAUGGAUGACCUCACCGUAACUACAACGACACACGUGCAAGCUCGUUGGGUUCUUAGAGCAUUGGAUGAGACAGUGACUUGGGCAAGAAUGAAGUUCAAACCAAAGAAAUCGAGGAGCUUGGUAAUCAAGAAGGGAAAGGUUACUCAAAGGUUCACCCUCCAGAUACAGAGCGAAGACAUACCAUCCAUAGUAGACAAUCCUACCAAAUGCCUAGGAAAAUGGUACGAUGCUAGCCUUAACGACACAAGCAGCACAAACCGCACCAAGAACCAACUCCAAGAAGGUCUGAAGCAGAUAGACCAGACAUCACUUCCUGGGAAAUUCAAGGCAUGGUUAUACCAACAUGGAUUGUUACCAAGACUCAUGUGGCCUCUAAUGCUGUAUGAGAUAGCAGUUUCUACUGUGGAAGGCUUUGAAAGAACCAUACAGAUACCUCCGUAGAUGGUUAGGGGUCCCACGAAGUUUCACCAGCAUCGGACUGUAUGGGAGGACCAACAAGCUCCAACUCCCAAUAUCAUCAGUUGUUGAGGAGUACAAAGUUGCUAAGGGCAGGAUGGUGGUGACACUGAAAGAAUCUUCUGAUGAACUGAUCAGGAUGGCAGGCAUAGAGACUAGAACCGGAAGGAAGUGGUCGGCAAGCCAGGCGGUGUCCCAAGCUGAAAGUAUACUGAGACACAAAGACAUCGUCGUAACUACUACGGAGGGCAGACAAGGGCUUGGUAUGAUAAAACCACAGCGAUGGAGUACGGCAGAUAAAAGGGAGAGGAGUCAGAUGGUGCAGAAGGAAAUCAGGGCGAGCGAAGAGGAGAGCAGAAGAGCCCGUUCAGUUGAAAUGGGUGGACAAUGUGCCUGGAACAAAUGGACAACAACAGAGAGGAAGUUGACUUGGGCAGACAUCUGGCAGUAUGAGCCGCUAAGACUCAAAUUCCUGUUAAGGUCAGUUUACGACCUGCUGCCAUCCCCAACCAACCUCCACAGAUGGGGUCUAGUGGAAGACCCAAGUUGCAGUCUCUGUAACAAGCCAGGCACCAUGGAACACAUCCUGUCAUCAUGUCAGACUUCGCUGACACAGGGCCGCUACAGAUGGAGACACGAUGCUGUCCUUAGGGAGCUAGCAGAUGUACUUGAGCGCGAGAGAAGGAAGAAAAGAACAGCAAAGAAAACAGCAUCUACAAAGAUCAACUUUGUCAAGGCAGGGGAAACAACCACAAAGCUAGCUCCUAGAAACACGUCGAUCUUAGAUGAAUCAGACCAAUGGGAGAUGAAAGUCGAGUUAGGAAAGAAGCUUGUCUUUCCCGAGAUCGUCCAAACUACACUGAGGCCUGACAUAGUGAUAUGGUCCACCAAACACAAGAAGCUGGUGACCAUUGAACUCACCGUCCCAUGGGAAUCAAGGUGCGACAUGGCAUAUGAGCGGAAGAAAGCCAUAUACACUGAUCUCUUAGACCAGUGCAGUUCCCGCGGUUGGAAAACAUGGCUGUUCCCGAUCGAAAUUGGCGCCAGAGGCUUUCCCGCACAAUCACUGUGGAGGAUGCUAAGUGCCCUAGGAAUCAGGGGAGGAGAGAGAAAGAGAGCUGUUGGGAGACUAGGUCAAGCAGCAGAGAGAGCGUCCAGUUGGCUAUGGAUUAAGAGGGAGGAGAAGAGCUGGCAGCUAACCACUGACCCGUAUUGCCUGAUCAGCACUGCGGUUUCACCGCCCGGAGAGUGUCCUGGGAUUAAAGGAUGAAACACUUGUUGAUUGGCGGCUCCCAGCUGAUGAGUCAGUGGCUUCGUGCAGCACAGACUGUAUUAAACACAAUACGAAAUACUUCACGAAAUUUCCGUUGAUUUUUAGCGUUAUAUAGACUUUAAAUAUAUAUGUCUUUGAUGUCUUUGAUAUAGAGCGUCGGCAGUUAUUCAAUACGCUAUUUUUUCUUAUAAAUGCUUGUUUAAUGAAAAGCAGCCGCAUUGUAAUCAAUAACAUUUCAAGGCAUACAGCUGGCUUAUAAGAUUUUUUUUAUUAAUCUUGACAUUGAGCCUAUCAGUUAAAGAUUGAACUACGGCGAGGUAACUAGGUUUAUUUCGUACAAGUCUUCAACAAGUUUUUAAUGUUUAAACUGAAACUUACCAAAAAUAUAGUAUUCAACAUCCACGCAGUGUUUUCAACUUCUUUACUAUAUUGCGAAACUUGUCAAACGUAGAUAUACACCAUGGGAUCAGCACCGUCUUGCGGCUCAAACGUUAGGAACAUCGACACCCAUCUACAACGAUUAUCCAGUAACCAAAAAUUGACCGAAGAUGAACUGAACAUGUUGACAACUAUGUUAAGGACAAAAGCUUCAGAGGCAAUGGAAAUCAAGCACAAGUUGGCCGAUGAUGGACUUUAUGUUGACAGCAUUAGGAAAACGAUUGCAUUAUUUUUCAUAAACACGUGUUCUCAUAAGUUUAACAAAGUGAAACAAAGGGUUAAAUUUAUCAUGGAAAUAUCAACUAUUUUGCUACAGACAAAGUUCAUAAACAUAAUACGGGGCUGCUUAAUAAAGUUGCACAUUCGUGGUUGGGUGAAUGUUGAUGGAACCGUGGACAAAUCUGCUUAUGACUUGAUACGUUGGUCAAUGUCCUUCGUUGUAGACUUGGCCGAUGUUUCAGAUGAAUUAUCGUUCUCUUUGGCUAAUGACAAAAACUAUAUGGCAGCAAUUAAAACGAUUCUUGAAGAUAAAUCCACUCAAUAUCUUCAAAGCGAUAUAUCGCCGUUGUCGGACUUUGAUUCGGAGAUAAUUGAAAAUUGUUUGAAAGUUGUAACCAAUAUAUCAAGGUGGUCGAAUUGCGCUCAACUUCUUCGAAACCACAAUUUCACAAAGGUUAUAAAGCCGUAUCUCAACUCCAGUGAUGAAUUGACUAGCCUCGCUGUCUUAUCAGCACUCGCUGCGAUUGUCAAUGAGUCUGAAUGUGAUAUCAUUAAUGCAGCACUUGAUAAGGUCCAACUUCUCUUGGAUGUGCUUAAGCAUGGCCUGGAUGAAAAUGAUAGGCGCUACAGAGGGUGGUCUUGCAAAGAAUGCGCCUACACUGUUAAAACGCUGGUGCGGAAUGAUGCAAACAAGCAAUUACUCGUUGAACUCGGUGUUUUGGAAUUGCUUGUGAAAAUGGGACGAACCGGAAACGAGGAGGAACAAUGCGAGAGUGUCAACGCGGCGUGGGCCCUGUGUUUUAACAAGGAUACUCAACAAAAGGUGGCAAAGGAUGAAAGUCUUGGGUUGGUGGAGUUGUUGUUUGAUUUGAAAACGUCUUCAAAUUCCCAUAUAAGGAAAACAUGCAACGGUGCACUGUGGACGCUGCGAGAUGUAUUGGCAUCGUCUGAAUACCAGAAAAACAGAAUAUUCGGUAUCAGUUUCUUACCUAAAAGAGCAAAUAGUCUUAUUUAUUUACAUUUGUUUUUAUGACGAGAAGUGACAAUUUGUCUUUGUCUCCUCUAUAUAUAAUAUGAUAACGCCAGAUAUUUAUGACACCAUUAGACAACCGAUGAUGUGCUUGCAGUAUGUGCUUACGUUUUAAGUGAUAAAUUUCGUAUUUUUUUCUUAGGCCACAACAAAUUGAUGAUUUGUUCUACGGAUUUUAGCCAAAAAAAAUGGAGCGAGCGAGCGAAAUAAAAAUAAAUUAAUUUUUAUUCUAUUUUUAAAAAAAUCACAGGCGAGCGAAGAGCGAAAAAUAAAAAAAUAGAUAUAUUGUCUCUGUAAAUUGAUAUUUGUUGCCAAAUAAAUGCAUGAUAUCUUCAAAAUACAAACACAAGGUCAUUUAUUAGUACUAACUAUGUUUAACUCUAGUCCAAUGUUUGUUAAAGAAUGAUAAACAAAAUAUUCUCCAAUAGUUAUUCUGCUUAUUCACAACAGGUAGUGACUACUUAAUGUUAACAUGGUACACUGUACUUUUCACUAGCAAAGUUAUAUAAGAAGCUCAGUCUUCUGUCAAUGAAAGUUAAAUAGCAUGACAAUAAAUAAUAUGCUAAACAUCAA
RNA transcript from Dreissena polymorpha, 5676 nucleotides. RefSeq lists it as uncharacterized. The record is from RefSeq and is a predicted model, not a curated record. Lineage: Eukaryota; Metazoa; Mollusca; Bivalvia; Myida; Dreissenidae. The transcript is spliced from 6 exons.